GAGAGGUCAGAACUGUCGAAUAGUGAAAUAGGGGAGACUUUAACUAAUAAACUGUACUAAUUGGCCAACCCAAAAAUUCUAAAAAUUUUAUGAUAAUUAGAUAUAUGAGUAUAGUUUUAGGGAAAAUUUACAGAUUUAAAUUUUGAGUUUCGUAACUUGAGUUAUAAUUAAUUUAGCUACUACUGCGCAGUUGGAUAGUUUUAUUGUGAACAGUGAAAUAAAUUAUUUUAAUUUGUUUAAGUAUUUGGAAAAUUUUUAAUGUUCCCAUUUUGGUAAGUUAAGUUAGGUAACGCAUCGUGCCUGAUUCCAGCAACGGUCUCGGUUAAGGGGUGUUACAUAAAAAGAUGAGGAAUAGUGGGGGAGACCAUGAGGAAGAAUAAGAUAAUAAUGGCAAUAGUGACAAUGGUAAGAAUUAUGGUAAUGGGAAACCAUAGAAUGGGAAGAUGAAACCCAACAAUCCUCCGAAGGUCAAAGAGAAUGAAAAGAAGUUAGUGAAAUGUUUCUUGUGUUGUAGUCCGCAUAGGAUGCGAGACUGUUCAGAGCAAUCCAAGCUGUUUGCGACCAUUAAAAAUGAGAAAGUAGAUCCCGAUGAGAAAAAGGUAUUAAAGCUUAGAUCAAUGAUACUCAAUUCUGUGAAAGCAAAAAAGGACCGCAAUUAAAAAGAAUUGAUAUUUGUGGACAUCAACAUUGCAGGCCAAAGGAAAAGUUCGCUUAUUGAUACGAGGGCAUUCGAUUUGUUCAUAUUGGAGAAAGUCGUGGAUAAACUUGGUCUCUCAGUUAGCAAAUUGACUAAGAAGAUCAAAACUAUAAAUUCCAAAGAGGUCUCAACUAUGGGAGUAGCAUAAGAAGUUGAGCUACAGAUUGUUUAGUGGAAAGGAAAUGAAGACUUUGAGGUAAUUCAUUUAGAUUAUUACAACUUUUUUCUUGGCUUGAAUUCUCUUGACUAUAUUAAUGCUUUGUUGGUUCCUUUUUUCGAUUGCAUAUGUAUCUUGGAUACUCGUCAUCGAUAAUGUGUUAUGCUAGUGAGUCGUGAUGAGAAAGGUGGAACCAAUGUAUUAUUGGCAAUUUAGCUAGCAAAGGAUGUUUAUUGUCAUAAGUGUUGGAUCUGGU
Molecule: long non-coding RNA, 1110 nt
Filed under: Gossypium barbadense (sea-island cotton)
Lineage: Eukaryota; Viridiplantae; Streptophyta; Magnoliopsida; Malvales; Malvaceae
Description: long non-coding RNA (GBAR_LNC022190)
Source: RNAcentral